Molecule: long non-coding RNA, 355 nt
Filed under: Mytilus galloprovincialis (Mediterranean mussel)
Lineage: Eukaryota; Metazoa; Mollusca; Bivalvia; Mytilida; Mytilidae
Source: RNAcentral
UUCCUGUGAUUUUGUAAUUUCAAUUUCAAUGAAUAUACAAUAACUUCUUCAAACCCCAACAAUAUUUAAGUUAACCUUUAUUUACAAUGUUUAAACUGGUACUGUUGCCUUGUUCAUGUUCAUGUUUUUUUUUUGUACAUUAAAUUUGGGUCUUCGUCGAUACCAUACUUAUUCCAGACGUUCCGUAUCAGAGGACAUUUCAGGCAUUUCCUCUGCACUUCUUGUAUUAUUAUAACUUCAUCACAGUGACAAGAAUAACAGUACAGAGUACCAUUAAUUCAUAGAACAAAACAACAAAUCGCUGAAGUCAUGUUUACAAAAUGUCAAAACGAGCCAAAGACCAAAAAAUGACAAG